RNAcentral lists this unclassified non-coding RNA (641 nucleotides) under Hevea brasiliensis (rubber tree). Lineage: Eukaryota; Viridiplantae; Streptophyta; Magnoliopsida; Malpighiales; Euphorbiaceae. The record is from RNAcentral.
AUUCAAUGCAUAUAAUACAAAUAUAUAUAUAACAAUUAAUUGACAUGCUCUAAUAUAAUGUCAUGAAGCAUUUUAUUAAUAUGUGAAUAUUUAAUACAAAUCCACAAUAAUAUUAAUAACGUAAGUCCAAUGUAAAGAACAUAUUGCCUACAUAAAUUAAUUUUACUUCAUAAAAUUAAAUUUGAAAAAUAAAAAUAAAAACUUUGUACAAUAAUUGCUUUACAACAAAUUGUCAUGGUACUCUUCCCUUCAUCAGUAGAGGUACUAAACUAAAAAAUAUUCACUACUUAGAAAGAACAUCACCAGGGCAAUAUAUCACUGACUGGUGACAGCUUUGCCAGAAGAAGUUAGGCAUAAAUAAUGGACCAAUGGUACUGAGUUCUUACUAAUCUACUAUCAGUUUUUCAGAUUAGGAGAUCAUGAGAGAUGGGAAUUCCAUUGUAAAAGAAGUUAAACCCAAAUGCAUGUAUGAUGUGAUAUGUCAUGAACAGGGACAACGAGUUGAAAAACAGUUUAUAAAUUUAGAAUCAGUCACCUAAAAGGCAAGAACAGAAUGGCAUUCUUAAAUUAUAGGACAUGAGAACAUAGAAUAAUGUUUCUCACUCUCUCUCUCUCUCUGGAGAAAAAAAAAAAAAAAAAAA